Molecule: long non-coding RNA, 1277 nt
Organism: Cucurbita maxima (winter squash)
Lineage: Eukaryota; Viridiplantae; Streptophyta; Magnoliopsida; Cucurbitales; Cucurbitaceae
Exons: 6
Source: RefSeq, a predicted model, not a curated record
UGCAAGUUCACGCCAGUGUCAACCAAAUUCGCUUACUGCUGUUUGAUGAAUGGGGAGAAAGACGUUGCAUCAAACCAAGCUUGGCCGGAGGAGAAAGCCCUAAUCGUCCGGAUCGCAGCAAGCUACCAGUUCGUUUCUUCAAACUUCAGCUUCACAUUUCAAUCUGUUAUUUAAUAUCCAUUUCGAGGUUUUGGAGUUUUCUUGAUCGAUGGCGACCGAAUCUGGCUUUGAAGCUUCUUCCUAUUCCGUGGGAUCAUACAAUGGGAGCUCGAUGAGUUUUAUUCCCAAAUGUGAGAUUCGUUAUGAAGGAAUUCUCUACCACCUCAGCAUCCACGAGUCUACCAUCGGCCUGAAGAAUGUCAAAUCAUGCUGGGGUCUCGACUUCACCUCUGUCUGCUUCAGUUGGACGUGAAACAUUGAUGGUCUCAAAACAGUGCCAGAAUACUCUGGCUUUUAAUAAUGGACAGCAUCCUAGCAGAUUGUCUGCAUAUCUGUAGCUGCAGGUCCAUUGCUUGCAUUGUCAGCAUCCUCAUUAACUCCUUUUCAAUUAUCAGUCUGUGGCAGACGUACUUUCCUCCACAAAAAGACUGUGUUGGUGCAAGAAACUUGGGUGCUUCCACACAUUUUCCUUGUAAUUCUUUGGUAUCAAUUGCUGCUUUAGAACAUUAAGCACCCUCGUUACUAUCUCCGAGAGAGACACCUGCUCAACAGUUCACUGAAUAAUUUGAUUUUCAAGCCACCAAUGAGGAGUUCAAGAAGGACGUGGGAUUGUCUUGGAAAAGCAAAGCAAAGCAAAGGGAACUUUCAGAGUUUACAGUGAACAAUGCGAUUAUUUUUAUCAUGGGGGAGAAAGACAUUGGACGCUACCUGGUGCUAAGGUAUGGCUUGGAAUAAUAUCAUACAUUUCAUGGUUUGCGUUCCUCUUCUGUUGGGUUUCUCUGUGCUGCCUGCAUAUAACAAGAAUGUAUUCUUCGAUGCAAUUUCCAAUUCUCUUGAACGCGGAUCAAGGAAUAGACACAACCGGUUAUCUAGGCCAAUGAAAUUUGGCGCUGAGGUUUUGUCUUAUUUUGUUUAUCUGGUAUAUUUCUGCUCUGAUGGCAGGUAACUUAAAGUGAUUCUUUAGAAUAAAACGGCUUUAUGCAGACAAGCGGCGACAUUCCACAAAUGCGCGGCAACGUUGGCUAUGGCAUUAGAAGUGAUUGGGCUAAACAAAUUGCUGGACCUCGGUAGUAGGCCAGCAAGUUUGGGAUCAUUCCUUAAUAUCUACGUCCAACUUG